Molecule: microRNA precursor, 71 nt
Filed under: Paramuricea clavata
Lineage: Eukaryota; Metazoa; Cnidaria; Anthozoa; Malacalcyonacea; Plexauridae
Source: RNAcentral
UUGGUAUUACGUGCGGAAAUUGUUACCAUUUUCGGCUCAAAAAUGGUAACAAUUUCCGCACGUAAUACAAA